This 489-nucleotide ribosomal RNA is filed under the name uncultured bacterium. Its description in RNAcentral is "partial 16S ribosomal RNA". It matches the Rfam family "Bacterial small subunit ribosomal RNA", at positions 28 to 507 of the family's 1533-position model. The record is from RNAcentral.
GAUGAACGCUCGCGGGAGGCCUAACACAUGCAAGCCGAGCGGGAUUUGUUGGUUAGCUUGCUAACUAACAAUGAGAGCGGCGUACGGGUGCGUAGCACGUGUGCAACCUGCCUUUAUCUGGGGGAUAGCCUUUCGAAAGGAAGAUUAAUACCCCAUAACAUAUUGAUUGGCAUCAGUUAAUAUUGAAAGCUCCGGCGGAUAGAGAUGGGCACGCGUAAGAUUAGCUAGUUGGUGAGGUAACGGCUCACCAAGGCUGCGAUCUUUAGGGGGCCUGAGAGGGUGAUCCCCCACACUGGUACUGAGACACGGACCAGACUCCUACGGGAGGCAGCAGUGAGGAAUAUUGGACAAUGGGUGAGAGCCUAAUCCAGCCAUCCCGCGUGAAGGACUAAGGACCUAUGGUUUGUAAACUUCUUUUAUACAGGGAUAAACCUACUCUCGUGAGGGUAGCUGAAGGUACUGUAUGAAUAAGCACCGGCUAACUCCGUG